AGAAUACAUUCUCCUUCCACAAACGUUAUCAGAAAAUCCUGUAUGGAAAAUACUGAGGACAAUUUCAUCAGUCUCCAGCCCUUGUGAUCAUGUCCCAGAAUGACUAGUCAGGUGAAGCCCUAGCUGAAGAUUGCUUGUCACCUAUAGGAAGUAGCUGUCUGCUGGGUGAGCAUCUCAAAAAGUAGUAACUGGCUUCCAAGUUCACCUCCAAAGGUUACUUCAAAAACCCUGUCAGACCCCUCCUCCUUGAGUGAUUCACUGCUGCAAAUGGACUGUGGUUAAAAACAAUGAUUUCUUAAAAGUCCCACACCAGCAGUUGUGAUGAUUUAAGGCAGCCAGAGGAAGGCAGGUAUAAACCCUUUGUGCGUUGUUUUGAAAGAGUAUGUGAUGUUAUGAUAGAGCUAUUUGAGAGGAUAUGAUAAUACAGCUGUGUCUCUGGGGAUGAAUUUUUAUCUGUUUUGGUUAAAUUCAUUGAAGUCAGGGAGAAUGUGUCUAUUUCUGGUACAAGUGAUACAUUUUCAUCACAUCCAGAUAUGUAAUUUGGCACGAAAUAGCUAAUACUCUUCGAUUUCUGAUAUUCAUUUGGGUUUAACCUGACAUUUUCUUAUUUUAUAAUAAAUAGAAUUCCUGGUGCAGAACAAGGGUAACUAGUAAUAAUUCUGUAAAAGCAUUAUAAAAUUGCCAAAAGGAAAAGUGGUGCUGUUAUUAGGCCAAUACCACUGUAAAUGAUAAAUUAAAAAGGCAACAUGAAGAGGCUGAAAAGUAGUGACAGCUACAAUGAGUACAUUUUCUCCAUUCUCAGUGUGAGAUCACAGUGCAAGAAUACGUGAACUUAGAAUCCCUUUGUGAAAUCUGUGCUCAUUUUAGCUGUCACUGCUGCAGGUGAUGAGCACUCACAACCUGUUGUUUCUGCUUUGUGCUUAUGAAAAUGCAAGGGAUAAGUUCUAGUAACAAAGGAGUAAAUAUCCUGAUAAAUAUAAUCAUUUAGCUGAUGGGGAAUUCUGGAUGGCGUUUGGAAUAUACCCAAGAACUGUGAA
This is a non-coding RNA of Meleagris gallopavo (turkey), 1037 nucleotides long. Lineage: Eukaryota; Metazoa; Chordata; Aves; Galliformes; Phasianidae. The record is from RefSeq and is a predicted model, not a curated record.